GCGGGCGUAGCUCAGUUGGUAGAGCAUCAGCCUUCCAAGCUGAGGGUCGCGAGUUCGAGUCUCGUCGCCCGCUCCA
RNAcentral lists this transfer RNA (76 nucleotides) under Pyrinomonas methylaliphatogenes. RNAcentral's name for it is "tRNA-Gly". It matches the Rfam family "tRNA". Rfam says of the family: Transfer RNA (tRNA) molecules are approximately 80 nucleotides in length. The record is from RNAcentral. Lineage: Bacteria; Pseudomonadati; Acidobacteriota; Blastocatellia; Blastocatellales; Pyrinomonadaceae. RNAcentral also lists the same sequence under 5 other names.